UACAAGCGAAUAGACCAU
This 18-nucleotide non-coding RNA is filed under the name Arabidopsis thaliana (thale cress). The record is from RNAcentral. Lineage: Eukaryota; Viridiplantae; Streptophyta; Magnoliopsida; Brassicales; Brassicaceae.